AUUUUAGGGUAAGUAUAUCCCGUGUGAUAUUUGGGAUAUACUUAUACUAAAA
This 52-nucleotide microRNA precursor is filed under the name Sus scrofa (pig). Its description in RNAcentral is "mir-1302 microRNA precursor family". It matches the Rfam family "mir-1302 microRNA precursor family". Lineage: Eukaryota; Metazoa; Chordata; Mammalia; Artiodactyla; Suidae. The record is from Rfam by way of RNAcentral.